UACGGAGGGUGCGAGCGUUGUCCGGAAUCAUUGGGCGUAAAGCGCGCGUAGGCGGCUUUGUAAGUUAGAGGUGAAAGCCCGGGGCUCAACCCCGGAACUGCCUUUAAAACUGCAUCGCUUGAAUCCAGGAGAGGUGAGUGGAAUUCCGAGUGUAGAGGUGAAAUUCGUAGAUAUUCGGAAGAACACCAGUGGCGAAGGCGGCUCACUGGACUGGUAUUGACGCUGAGACGCGAAAGCGUGGGGAGCAAACAGG
Molecule: ribosomal RNA, 253 nt
Filed under: uncultured bacterium
Lineage: Bacteria
Description: partial 16S ribosomal RNA
Rfam family: Bacterial small subunit ribosomal RNA
Source: RNAcentral